This 623-nucleotide ribosomal RNA is filed under the name uncultured archaeon. RNAcentral's name for it is "bacterial SSU rRNA". It matches the Rfam family "Archaeal small subunit ribosomal RNA", at positions 146 to 774 of the family's 1478-position model. The record is from RNAcentral.
AUAAUACUCCAUAGAUUAGAGACACUGGAAUGUUCUUUAGUCGAAAGUUCUGGCGCCUUAGGAUGGAUCUGCGGUCGAUUAGGUUGUUGUUGGGGUAACGGCCCAACAAGCCUGUGAUCGAUACGGGUUGUGGGAGCAAGAGCCCGGAGAUGGAAUCUGAGACACGAUUCCAGGCCCUACGGGGCGCAGCAGGCGCGAAAACUUUACAAUGCAGGAAACUGUGAUAAGGGAACUCCGAGUGCCCGUAUACGCGGGCUGUCCAGGUGUUUAAAAAUCAUCUGAAGAAAGGGCCGGGCAAGACCGGUGCCAGCCGCCGCGGUAAUACCGGCGGCUCGAGUGGUGGCCACUAUUAUUGGGCUUAAAGCGUCCGUAGCUGGACCGAUAAGUCUCUUGGGAAAUCCGCCGGCUCAACCGGCGGGCGUCUAAGGGAUACUGUUAGUCUAGGGACCGGGAGAGGUGAGAGGUACUCCGGGGGUAGGAGUGAAAUCCUGUAAUCCCCGGGGGACCACCGACGGCGAAGGCAUCUCACCAGAACGGCUCCGACAGUGAGGGACGAAAGCUGGGGGAGCGAACCGGAUUAGAUACCCGGGUAGUCCCAGCCGUAAACUAUGCGCGUUAGGUGU